GACGGGGGAUGCAAGCGUUAUCCGGAAUCACUGGGCGUAAAGCGUCUGUAGGUGGUGAUGCAAGUCACUGGUGAAAAACUCUGGCUCAACCGGAGGAAAGCCAGUGAAACUGCAUGACUAGAGGGUGGGAGAGGUAGAAGGAAUUCCCUGAGUAGCGGUGAAAUGCGUAGAUACAGCGAAGAACACCGGAGGCGAAAGCGUUCUACUGGAACACAACUGACACUGAGAGACGAAAGCUAGGGGAGCGAAUGGG
RNAcentral lists this ribosomal RNA (253 nucleotides) under uncultured bacterium. Its description in RNAcentral is "partial 16S ribosomal RNA". It matches the Rfam family "Bacterial small subunit ribosomal RNA", at positions 524 to 776 of the family's 1533-position model. The record is from RNAcentral.